Molecule: ribosomal RNA, 253 nt
Filed under: uncultured bacterium
Lineage: Bacteria
Description: partial 16S ribosomal RNA
Rfam family: Bacterial small subunit ribosomal RNA
Source: RNAcentral
UACGUAGGGUGCGAGCGUUAAUCGGAAUUACUGGGCGUAAAGCGUGUUCAGGCGGCCGCGCAAGUCGGGCAUGAAAUCUCUCGGCUCAACCGGGAGGGGUUGUCCGAUACUGCGUGGCUGGAGGGCAGUAGAGGGUGGUGGAAUUCCGGGUGUAGUGGUGAAAUGCGUAGAGAUCCGGAGGAACACCAGUGGCGAAAGCGGCCACCUGGACUGUACCUGACGCUCAAACACGAAAGCUAGGGGAGCGAACGGG